UAUAAUUUUUCUCCACACCAGGAAAAUACGUUCUGCUCCAUUGCAUUACUGCACAGACAACAUGAGUGACGCUGACAACAAGGUGAGUUCAUUUUCUUACAGUGCUUUAGUCCUGUGACUAACAGCUUGAAAACAUGUGUACUUAUGAAGUGUUUCCCUCAUCUAGCCCGAGGUGGAAGAGGAAGAAGAGGAAGGAUGCAAAGGAGGUGAAAGGGGGAAAAGCGGAGAACGCGGAAAAGGUCAUGGAAAAGGAGAAGAACAUGGAAAAGGUCAUGGAAAAGGACAAGAACAUGGAAAAGGAAAAGAACAUGGAAAAGGUCAUGGAAAAGGACAAGAACAUGGAAAAGGACAAGAACAUGGACAUAAAAAAUGAGUUGAAGAUAGAAAAGAAUAUGGCAAGAAAUAGGAGCGUGGUGAAUGCCUUGAUAAAUGACAAAGAAUUCCUAAAACUUCCAUUCUGUGAUUAUGCUUGUAAGGAAUGAAAUACAUAUUCAAUAAAUCAUUUCAGAAAAAUGCAGAA
Eleginops maclovinus (Patagonian blennie) is the source of this 520-nucleotide long non-coding RNA. RefSeq lists it as uncharacterized. Lineage: Eukaryota; Metazoa; Chordata; Actinopteri; Perciformes; Eleginopidae. The transcript has 4 exons. The record is from RefSeq and is a predicted model, not a curated record.